GUGAUAGGCGGCAGUGUGUGUGUGGGGGGGGAACCGCUGAGAGGAAAAGAGAGGCAAGCGUGUGAGUGUGCCUGUGUGGGUGAUCACGAAUGAGAUGCGAGAGAGAGGAAGAGGAAGGAUCGCCUUUUUCUCUUCUGCCUUCCAAACCGCGAGCUGACGAGCAGAGCGAGGGAAACGAGAAGGAAAGGAGGGAGAAUCCCGGCAGGCAAAGUGAUCUGCCGACGCCUCCUCCGGGGUGAGGGAGUCCGCAACCUCCCCGGCUUCGUCUGGGCCACGCCGUCGUCCGUGCGCCUCCUCCUCCUCCUCCUCGCCCCCCCCCCCGCCAGCCUCAGCCUCCUUCCGUCUGCCAACUCCAGGGAUCCGUCUGAGACUGCUGUGCGUGCUUCGAUGGCAGCGAGCAGAUAGGCAAGGAGCAGCGGUGUCAGGAGGAGAGAGAGGAGAGUCCAAGGGAUUAGCCUCAAUUCAGAAUACUGUCCGCCAUUGUCUGUUCAGGAAGCCACGAGAACAAAACAGCCCACAGCUUCAGCUUCUUCACCAUCAACUGUAUGAUCUUUAGAAGAAGGUUCAAAAAUGCAAGCAAGAGAACAAACCAAUCAUGUAUGGAGGAGGAAAAGAAGAAGUUGUGAUUAGAAGACCUACAUCCCCCACUAUGAUGACCUCUCAAACUGAGGAAACCGCUUGUCCCUAACUCAGCAGCUUCCCUGGGAGUGCUAACAUUCACAGAAACAUCCAGAGGAAACAGGAGCAAUCUGAUUGUAGCUAGUCUUGGAUUU
Molecule: long non-coding RNA, 773 nt
Filed under: Salvator merianae (Argentine black and white tegu)
Lineage: Eukaryota; Metazoa; Chordata; Lepidosauria; Squamata; Teiidae
Description: lncRNA (ENSSMRG00000003286.1)
Source: RNAcentral